CUUAGGGAGGAGCUUGCGUCACAUUAGUUAGUUGGUGGGGUAAAGGCCUACCAAGACUAUGAUGUGUAGCCGGGCUGAGAGGUUGAACGGCCACAUUGGGACUGAGACACGGCCCAAACUCCUACGGGAGGCAGCAGUAGGGAAUUUUCGGCAAUGGAGGAAACUCUGACCGAGCAACGCCGCGUGAACGAUGAAGUAUUUCGGUACGUAAAGUUCUUUUAUUAGGGAAGAAUAAAUGAUGGAAAAAUCAUUCUGACGGUACCUAAUGAAUAAGCCCCGGCUAACUAUGUGCCAGCAGCCGCGGUAAUACAUAGGGGGCAAGCGUUAUCCGGAAUUAUUGGGCGUAAAGGGUGCGUAGGCGGUUAAAUAAGUUUAUGGUCUAAGUGCAAUGCUCAACAUUGUGAUGCUAUAAAAACUGUUUAGCUAGAGUAAGAUAGAGGCAAGUGGAAUUCCAUGUGUAGUGGUAAAAUGCGUAAAUAUAUGGAGGAACACCAGUAGCGAAGGCGGCUUGCUGGGUCUUUACUGACGCUGAGGCACGAAAGCGUGGGGAGCAAACAGGAUUAGAUACCCUGGUAGUCCACGCCGUAAACGAUGAGUACUAAACGUUGGGUAAAACCAGUGUUGAAGUUAACACAUUAAGUACUCCGCCUGAGUAGUACGUACGCAAGUAUGAAACUUAAAGGAAUUGACGGGACUCCGCACAAGCGGUGGAUCAUGUUGUUUAAUUCGAAGGUACCCGAAAAACCUCACCAGGUCUUGACAUGCUUCUGCAAAACUGUAGAAACACAGUGGAGGUUAUCAGUUGCACAGGUGGUGCAUGGUUGUCGUCAGCUCGUGUCGUGAGAUGUUGGGUUAAGUCCCGCAACGAGCGCAACCCUUAUUGUUAGUUACCAGCACGUAAUGGUGGGGACUUUA
This 915-nucleotide ribosomal RNA is filed under the name Candidatus Phytoplasma asteris-related phytoplasma. Its description in RNAcentral is "bacterial SSU rRNA". It matches the Rfam family "Bacterial small subunit ribosomal RNA", at positions 218 to 1142 of the family's 1533-position model. The record is from RNAcentral. Lineage: Bacteria; Bacillati; Mycoplasmatota; Mollicutes; Acholeplasmatales; Acholeplasmataceae.